GCAGGCAGGGGAGGAGCUCGGCGGAGCUCCCCCGUCGUGCUCGCCGCCAGCAAGCACCCACGGGCCACGGCGGGGGAGGAAGUAUUCGCCGGCGCCGGUGGGGCGCAAGGUAUACUUCCGUCUCCCUGUUGUCCUAGCUCUGUCCAAUUUUUUGUUUGUUCUAUCUGAUCUGCCUCUUUCCGUGUUUGAUUCAGUUCAUCGUCGUGGUCGCCGGGCAUAGAGCCAUGUCGCAGGGGUUGUUCAGUUAGCUAGUUUUUGGGUAAGAACGUUUUGCCAUAGCUUAGUCCACCCCAGCGAUUUUGACUGGUUCAUGAGAAACGAUCCUGAAUUUUUUUUCCAGCCACCUAUACGCGCGUGUCAGUCAAUCCCCAAAUUUCAUCGCCUAAGUCCGCCUCGUUGUUUUUCUGGACAUAGAUCUCCGGUUCUACGAAGUGUUGAGUGUCAAUUUCACCACUAAACAGAACAUUCCUCUAAGCUGACUACAAAGUGUCGGAUGUAGAUCUCGGGUUCGGCUCCUCUGCAGUCGUGUAAAAACUGCACAGGUGCUGUAUGUGUGGGAGUUAGUUGAGAUUUUUUAGGCAUUUGCUGGUGAUUCGAUUUUUUGUGGGAGGGUCUAUGCAAUGUUCAGUAAUGGUUCAGGUGGUAUUUUCGGCUGCUUUAUGUUGAUGUAAGCAUGGACGAAGGAAUGUUCUGAGUCCUUUUUCUUGGUCAGCAUCUUCCAUCAUGAAAACAUGCUCACAAUCUAUGUUUUAUGUACUUAUCAUUUUUCAGUUUAGUGAAUGAGAGCUAGUUUUUGGUACUAGAUUAUUCUUUUUUUUAGCAUGUUUUGUACAUUAUUCAGCUUAAGUAAUUCCUUCAUUAUGAAGAUGGUUUUGCUUCUCAGGCCCGAGUUUUGGGAGCAAGUUCGCGGUUAUUUUUUGAUGUGAUUUAUCAACGCUAAAACAGAUGGACCUGAAUUUUUCCCGUUACUUGUUAUGUAUUGGCUAUUAUAAAUUUGCAGUAUACUUUUUUUAUGUGCAGGCCCUUUUCCUGCAUGAACACUGGUGUUUUUUAGUGGAGGCUUCUUUUUUGCUGUAGUGCAGGUUCAUGGGUGUUCAUUUUCCAGUAGACGGCGAUUUGUUUUUCAUUGCAGUGCCUCCAAUUAAGGUGUGUUGGAAGUCAAUUUUUUCAGGGGUCGGUCGAACAGUAAAAUAGUGGUCAUAGUGGUCAGGGUCCCUAUUUGUCUUGUUGGAUUUGCUUCAUUCCUCUGUUUACAUACCUUGCUCAUCCAUCUCUUCUUCUUCAUCCCUGUCCAUAGUAUUGAAAUGUUGUUUAAUUCUGUCCAUUUCUGCUAGCAGGUACUUAUAUUUAUCUUGACUUUUUUAUCCAUUCGAGCCCAGCUGCAUUAGCUUCAUUCCUAGGACAUUGUACCUGAGCUGAUCAAAGUGGAAUUUCUUUGGGUUAAAUUCAUUUUCUUGCCUUCUUCCAACCAUUUGUGUAUUAUGUAUUUAUGUGGUAUCUUAUCUACCUCAAAGUGCAGCAUCACUUUCAGAAUGUGAGAGCACAAAUGUCAUCUUUUUUCGAACUUGGAACAAAUGCAGGAGUAAUCCUCUUUCUUAGUGUCCACUUGCACCUGAAAGGAUCGAUAUAGUUGACUAGAGGGGGGGGGGGGGUGAAUAGGCAACUAACAAUUUUCAGCUUUUCUUCACCAAUUUAAACUUUGCAUCAAAGUAGGUUGUCUAGAUAUGCAACUAGGUGGGCAACCUAUAUGAUGCAAUAACAAUAAGCACACACGCAAGCAAAAGAUACAACACAAAUAAGCUUGCACAAGUAAAGGCACGAGAUAACCAAGAGUGGAGCCGGUGAAGACGAGGAUGUGCAUCAAAGUUCCUUCCCUUGAGAGGAAGUAUGUCUCCGUUGGAGUGGUGUGGAGGCACAAUGCUCCCCAAGAAGCC
This 1934-nucleotide long non-coding RNA is filed under the name Triticum aestivum (bread wheat). RNAcentral describes it as "long non-coding RNA (TAES_LNC009228)". The record is from RNAcentral. Lineage: Eukaryota; Viridiplantae; Streptophyta; Magnoliopsida; Poales; Poaceae.